This 256-nucleotide ribosomal RNA is filed under the name uncultured bacterium. RNAcentral's name for it is "partial 16S ribosomal RNA". It matches the Rfam family "Bacterial small subunit ribosomal RNA", at positions 521 to 776 of the family's 1533-position model. The record is from RNAcentral.
UAAUACGGAGGGCGCAAGCGUUGUUCGGAAUCACUGGGCGUAAAGCGCGUGUAGGCGGCCGGGCAAGUCGGAUGUGAAAUCCCGAGGCUCAACCUCGGAACUGCACUCGAAACUGCUCGGCUCGAGUCCCGGAGAGGAUGGCGGAAUUCCCGGUGUAGGGGUGAAAUCCGUAGAUAUCGGGAGGAACACCAGUGGCGAAGGCGGCCAUCUGGACGGUGACUGACGCUGAGACGCGAAAGCGUGGGGAGCAAACAGG